UGUUGUUAGUUGCCAGCAUGUAAUGAUGGGGACUCUAACAAGACUGCCGGUGUAAACCGCGAGGAAGGUGGGGAUGACGUCAAAUCAUCACGGCCCUUACGUCCUGGGCUACACACGUGCUACAAUGGCAGUGACAAUGGGUUAAUCCCAAAAAGCUGUCUCAGUUCGGAUUGGGGUCUGCAACUCGACCCCAUGAAGUCGGAAUCGCUAGUAAUCGCGUAACAGCAUGACGCGGUGAAUACGUUC
RNAcentral lists this ribosomal RNA (246 nucleotides) under uncultured Alphaproteobacteria bacterium. RNAcentral's name for it is "partial 16S small subunit ribosomal RNA". It matches the Rfam family "Bacterial small subunit ribosomal RNA", at positions 1106 to 1373 of the family's 1533-position model. Lineage: Bacteria; Pseudomonadati; Pseudomonadota; Alphaproteobacteria. The record is from RNAcentral.